UACGGAAGGCAGCAGGGGGGAAUAUUGCACAAUGGGCGCAAGCCUGAUGCAGCCAUGCCGCGUGUAUGAAAAAGGCCUUCGGGUUGUAAAGUACUUUCAGUCGUGAGGAAGGUGUUAAGGUUAAUAACCUUAGCAAUUGACGUUAGCGACAGAAGAAGCACCGGCUAACUCCGUGCCAGCAGCCGCGGUAAUACGGAGGGUGCGAGCGUUAAUCGGAAUUACUGGGCGUAAAGGGCACGCAGGCGGUUAAUUAAGUUGGAUGUGAAAUCCCCGGGCUUAACCUGGGAAUGGCAUUCAAGACUGGUUAGCUAGAGUCUUGUAGAGGGGGUUAGAAGUUCCAUGUGUAGCGGUGAAUGCGUAGAGAUGUGGAGGAAUACCGGUGGCGAAGGGCGGCCCCUGGGACAAAGACUGACGCUCAUGUGCGAAAGCGUGGGGAGCAAACAGGGAUAGAUACC
RNAcentral lists this ribosomal RNA (455 nucleotides) under uncultured bacterium. RNAcentral's name for it is "bacterial SSU rRNA". It matches the Rfam family "Bacterial small subunit ribosomal RNA", at positions 340 to 786 of the family's 1533-position model. The record is from RNAcentral.